AAAAAUGAAGAACAUAAGGAUAAUAGCAAUUACGCUAGUGAAAAUACAAAUUUAUAUGAUAAUUCAAAAGAAGAAUAUAAAAAUGAGAAUACAAACAAAUUUAAAAAAAAAAAAAAAAAAAAAAAAAAAUAUUGAAUUAAAUAUAAUGAAUAAAAAUUAUUUAACUAAUAGUAUAAUAUUAAAUAACUUAAAUAUACUUAUAAUGGAUUUAAAUUAUUUGCAAAAUAUAUUAGAGCUCAAAAAAAGAAACUACAAUAUAAGCCAUUCUGAUGAUGUUUGUUUUGAUACGUGUAACAGAAGUCACAGUACUAGUAAUAGUAGAAGCAGUACACAUUUUAAUAAAAUAAAUAAUUAUCACAUAUCGGAUAAUAAUAAUGAUAAUCAUAAUAAUGGUAUUAUAAGGAACGAUGACUAUGACUAUAGACUUUACAACAGCAACAAAGAUACAGUUUAUAACAGUCAUCAUGUGAAAGGGAAAAUAAAUAAUAUAAAUAAAUGUGAUACGUUAAUGUCUAACAAAAGAGGUAUAAAAGAUAAUGUACAUGAUGAAAUAAGAAAAGGUGAAAUAGAGAGAUCGUGUAUGAUUAACAAUGCAGUUACUAAUAGUAUUGGUGAAUGUGUUGGUAGUGGUUUUGUUAAUAAUUUUGCUAAUGGUUUUGCUAAUGGUUUUGCUAAUGGUUUUGCUAAUGGUUUUGCUAGCGAUUUUGCUAGUAAUAUUGCUAGCGGUUUUGCUAAUAACUCUGCUAGCGGUUUUGCUAAUAAUUUUGCUAGCGGUUUUGCUAAUAACUCUGCUAGUGAUUUUGCUAAUAACUCUGCUAGCGGUUUUGCUAAUAACUCUGCUAGCGGUUUUGCUAAUAACUCUGCUAGCGGUUUUGCUAAUAAUUUUGCUAACGGUGUGAUUAAUAAUAAUAAAAACACUAUUAUUGAUAUUGAAUGUAAUAAUAAAAAAAGCUAUUUUAAUAGUGUAGAAUAUAAUGAUAAUAUGAAUUAUAUAGGCUAUAGAAGUAGUAGUAGAAGCAAAAGCAGAAGCAGAAGCAGAAGUAGUAAUGGUAGUAAUUAUAAAUGUAAUAAGCAUGAUUAUAACAAUUAUGACUGUGAUUAUAAAAAUAGUGAGAAUGAAUUAGAAAAAUCAACAUUUGACUGUAGAAAUCUUUGUUCUUUAUGUUAUGGCGUUAAGUAUGACGAUUUUAAUCAUAAGCAGUAUACUGGUAACAGCAUUAAUGGUAAUAGUGUUACUAAUAGAAACAACAUAUAUGGUAAUAAUAAACAAAACAAAAAUAAUAUGUAUAAACAUGAUAACUGCUCCAUUAAAUGCUAUAAUAAUAGCUACACCAAUAGCUACGAUGAUGACUGUGAUGAUGAAUGUGAUGAUUAUAAUAACAAAAAUAACGUGUUUAUAAAUGAAAGUGACUUUUUUUGUAAUUGCAAUAAUAUAUAUAAUAGUUUUUAUAACAAUGGAAUAAAUAAUAGUAAUAAUAAUAGUAAUAGUAAUAAUAGUAAUAAUAGUAAUAAUAAUAAUAGUAAAUACAAAUUUCGUAUUAAUAAUUCUGAAACAAAAAGUAAAGAAUAUUAUAUGUUGAAAAAAAGAGAUUUAGAAAGGUUGAAUACAGAAAUUAAUAAUAUAAUUUAUAUGAGUAAUAAUGCGUAUUGGCUAAAUGAAAAAUCUCAUGUUCUAUCAUCAUCAGAAAAAGAAAGGGUUAGUGAGAAAUCAAAUAAUUUUUUAAAUAAAGAUAAAAAAAAGAAUAACAAUAGUAACAAAAUAGAUAUAAAUAAAAGAAAAGGGUUAGGAAAAAAUAAGAAUAGUAAAAAUAACAAUGAUAAUAAUAAUGUAUGGAUAAAGCGUUCUAAUAGUAAUAAUAAUACAUAUGAUGAUAAGAAUAUAUCAAAUAGAGAUUUAAGAAAGUUAAAAAAAAAUAAUAAGUUAGUACAGAAUAAAGAAGUAGAUGGUAAAAAUAAACCAUUAGUUAAAACUAGAACAUAUGAAAAUUGUUAUCUUAAAACAACAAGAGUUAAAAAAUUGGAAAAAUUUACUAGUGUAGAUCAAGAAGAAUUAAAAGAAGUAUUUGGACCUACUGGAGUUUCAGGUGUUUACUUUGAAAAAAGUCGAAGCAGUUGGACUGCACAAUAUAAAGUCACAGGUGGAAAAAGAAGAGCUAAACGUUUUCUAGUUACAAAAAAUAUGAGUUACGAAGAAAUCGAAAAUGUAAAACAACAAUGCAUUGCUUACAGAAAACAGAUGGAAAGAGAGUAUAUUAAAGAGUUUUUAAACGAAGAAAAAAAAAAAGAAAAAAAUAAUACUAAUAAUGACAAUAACAACAGUAAUAAUGGUAACGAAAACAGUAACAACGCUACUGUGGGUACAGGCAAGAAGACAAGAAGAAAGAGGAGGGUUAAAAAUUACUAUGCAUGUUGAUGUGUGGUAUAUAUGAAUGCGCUCGUUUGUGCAUGUUACGUACAUAUGUAUAUGUAUGUAGUAUGGUAUAGGUAUUAAUUUUGAUAACAGGAAUUAUAAAUUCGGAUACGGGACAAAAAAAUAAAAAAAAAAAGAGAAUGAAGCA
Molecule: long non-coding RNA, 2558 nt
Organism: Piliocolobus tephrosceles (Ugandan red Colobus)
Lineage: Eukaryota; Metazoa; Chordata; Mammalia; Primates; Cercopithecidae
Source: Ensembl